GAAUCCCACUCCAUGCUGUCAGCCGCAAGCCUGACAUGGGGCUUGAACCCACAAACUGUGAGAUCAUGACCUGAGCAGAAGUCACAAGUUGGACGCUUAACCGAGUGAGCCACCCAGGCAUCCCUAUAACAGGUCUUAAAAUCAGAAUUGGUUCACAUGACUGUGGAGACCAGCAAAUCCACAAUCUGAUGAACAGGCCAGCAGACAGGAGACCCAAAGAAGAGAUGAUGUUGCAGCUCAAGUCCAAAGGCAGACUGAAGGCAAAAUUCAUCCUCAGAGCUCUCACUCUGCUUUUAAGGCCUUCAACUGAUUGGAUAAGGCACACCCACAUUAUUGACAAUAAUAAUCUACUGAUUUAGGUGUUAAUCUCACCUAAAAAAUACUUUCACAGCAAUAUCCAGGUGGGUGUUUGACCAAAUACGGGUACUGAGACCUAGACAAAGUGACACAUUAACGACCACAAGACCUUUUCUUUGAAUGAAUGCAACAUUAUAUAGAAGUCCAUAUGUAACAAAAAUAAAAGUUCAAUCGUUAAAGCAGGGCGAGUCCCUGAAAUUCUUUACAGUUAACACCUUUCUAUGCCACCACUUUCCAUCACUAAGGGACCUUUCAGAAUCUGCAAGGGUUUAUUGAUGCACCAUAUAAAAAUCACAUAAAUAAUGGGGCUAUUUCCAACUAUCAGACACAAAUUGAUAUUAAGAAGAUAUGGUCAGACAAGGUCCUGAAGAACUUUCCUUAACUCUAAAUAUUCAGAAAUCUGUAAUUUAUUGUCACUUGCCUAAAUGUAUGACAAAUCUGCUUAUCAAAUGCUUCUCUCACCCAGGAUCAUGUUUAUUAAAUACAGCAAUUAUUUAUUGACUACCUCCUUUAGGCAGGGUUCUCUAUUAAAUUUUGCUUCGACAAAGUUUUAGGAAGUUCAUUUCAAAAAGGAUAGCAAAGACAAAUUUAUACUCAAUCUAUGUGUAAAUUCUUAGAUAUUUCAAAUGAAUGGAGUAAGAAUCAGUAAAAUUUUAAUGUAAUAAUAUGGCAUUUCUUAACAGUAUGAAAAACAUCAAAGUUACAAACCUUUAAAUUAAAUCAAGCUCUCUGAAUAUAGGAAUCCAUCACUGUAUAAUUAAACAGUAAUGAUUUCUGAAAUGAAACCCUCUGGUAUAGCAUUUUAAAAUCAUUCUGCCUAUUUUGUCUAAACUUACACAAAUGCAGCACCAAAAUAUCUGGGAAUGUUCAUAUGAAAAAGAAAAUUCUUCUUCCCAGUCAUGAGCUCUUAAAUGAGAACUCAAGGCACUGUAGAGAUUAACCAGGAAUCAAAAUAUAGAUCUGAAUUGCAUUCGUUUUGAAACAAUUUAAAUGUAGCAAUAAUUGCUUUAUGCAUAGAUAAUUUUUUAAAAUGAAAAGUAGUUUGAAGUUCAUUAGAUAAUGAAGCUAAUAACAUUUUGCCACAGUCUUUCCUGUAUUUCCCAUAAUUAUGAUGUGAUGACCUGGAUUCUCUAAAAGCCAUGUUUAGAUUGACAUUUUAUGUUAUCUCUAACUGUAGCAACACAUGUUAGUGUUCUUUCCUUUUACUACAGAUGAAGAAACAAAAAUUCAAAGAACCCAUGUGAUGUUAAAGUCAAACGACUAGGAAGUACAGAAGCUGGAUCUGAAACCAAGUUUACUUAUAGAAUUUUUGCACCUGGUUGUAUCAAAUGCCAGUGAUAUAACUACACAUAUUAUUUUUUUUAUACCUGGGAACAGCGGAGACCUAGAGAGAAGAGAUAAACUCUUAAGAAAAAAGUCAAAGUGAUAAGAUCAAGAUGACAAAUUGAGCAUAUUUGUCCAUCUCACAUCUUACCUUAUAUUCCCUUGGAAUAAUAUAAAAUAAAAAUUUAAAGAAUAAACUUAUAGAGGGCUCCAUGUCCAGGAUAACAAUGUGAAGAGCUCUACUGACCCACUCCUCAGUGAAAUAAGCAAAGCUAAUGAAAAUUACAAAAAAAAAAAAAGUCUCCAGAAAUGGUUCUAAGAGAAUACAACAAAUUAAAACAUUUACUCAAGAAUAAAAGUAGUUCCUACUUCUGUCAGUCAGAAGAGUGAAAGACUAUGACAUUUAAUCCGUGACUCACUGCUUCUCUCCACCCACCAAACUCAGCUUGAUGAGAACUCUACUACAGAGACAAUCAAGGAAAGAGACAGCGGAAAGGAUGCCUCCUGGGGAAAGGAAAAACUUUAGAAACCGGCUUCAAAAACUACCGUUAUCUGAAUUUAAUUGGACCAGACUGCUAAACAAUUUAUGCUCCGGAGUAAUGGUGAAAACAAUAGAGAAAUCAGCCAGUAACUAAUAAAGCCUAAAUGAGUAAGGUAUAAGACUAAAGGAAGCAGAUAAGUUAACAGAGAGAUUGGAGAAAGAGACAGUCAAGAGAGCCCUGGUAAAAUCAAUGUCAUUCCAGGGUGACUGUAGACAUGCCCAAGGUUACAUCUUCAGAUGAGUGCCACCAAAGGUUUUACACUACAAUGGAAAUGGACUUUACCAAGUAGCCUAGUCAAGUCAGAAAACAAGCACAGAAACAAUAAAAACAACCCCAGAGUGCGGGGAAUCACCAUCCAUAGUUCCUAUAAGAUAGUGUGUAAAAUGGCUGGCAUUUUACAGAAUAGUGAGAUAUGCUACAUGUGACCCAGACAUAGGAAAAAGAGCAGGUAACAGAGAUUGUGAGAUAGACCAGAUUUCAGAUUUAGCAGACAAAGCCUUGAAAGUAGCCAUUACAAAUAUGUUCGAAGAACUAAAGGAAACCAUGCUUAUGGAAUAGAGAAAGGUAUGAAACAUGAAGACAGUAUCUCAUCAAAUAGAGAGUAUCAAGAAAGAUAUAGAAAUCAUUAAAAGAUCUAGAUGAAAAUUCUGUAUUUGAAAACUAUAAUAACAAAUGAAAAUUUCACUAGAGGGCUCAACAACAAAUUUUAAUUGGAGGAGGAAUCAAUGAACUCAAAAGUAAAUUGAUAGGAAUUAUGCAAUCCAAACACAGAGAGAAAAUAGAGUGAAGAAAAAUAACAGAUCUUUGGAGAAAUGUGGGGCAUCUUUAAAUGUAUCAACACAUGUGUAUUUUAAAUGCCAGGAGGAAAGGAAGAAAGAAAGGAGCCAAAUAUAGCUAUAGCUAUAGAUAUUUCCACAUAUAUUAAUUAAUUAAUUAAUUAAUGUAUUAAUUAAUUUAAUGUAUUAAAGAAAUGCAGCUGAGGAUUUCACAAGUUGCCAAAAGACAUUAAUCUAUACAUCCAGGAAGCUAAAUUAAUUCCAAGUAGGAUAAAUACAAAAAAAAAAAAGCAUACCAGAUACAUCAAAGUAAAAAUGCUGAAAGCUAAGAACAAAAAGAAAACGUGAACACAGCAAGAUAAAAAUGACUUAUCACAUACAAGGGAACUCCAAUAGGACUUAGUUAACUUCUCAUCAGAUGUAAUGGAGGUCAAAGGUAGAGGAUGACAUUGGAAAUGCUCAAAAACAAACAAAAAAAGAUUGUUAACCAAGAAUCUUCUAUCCAACAAAACUAUCUCUCUAAAUGAAGUCAACAAGAAGACAAUACCAGAUAAAAACUGAAAGAAUCUGUUACCAGCAGACAAACUUUGCAAGAAGUACUAGAAGAAAUCCUUUAGGUGACAGCCAAAUAAAUAGAAAUUGGAAUCCACAGAGAAAAAACAGAAGACAACAAUAAAGUUAAUUAUACAAUUAUAAAAGACAGUAUAAAUGCAUAUUUUUUUCUUAACUAAGUUAAAAAGCAUGUGUAUAAAACCAUAUAUGUAUUAUUGAGCCAAUAGCGCAUAGAAAUACAAUGUAUUUGACAACAACAGCACAAAGGAGGUGGGUGGGAGUGGAGUUGUGUUGAAGUAAGGUAAUGACGUGAGAUCAUUACAGGAACAGGUGACUACAACCAGAAAUAGCAGAUAAGAAGGUAAAUAGGAUAUACUCUAAAGUAUACACUUGCUCUCCUUUCUUUCCUCAGCUUUUUUAACAGACAUAAAAUUUUAUAAAGUGAUUAUAUAUAUGUAAUAUAUACGAUUUUGCAUGCAUAUAAUGGCACAAAAAUGGGGAAGAAGGAAUAGUUA
This is a long non-coding RNA of Felis catus (domestic cat), 4065 nucleotides long. RefSeq lists it as uncharacterized. NCBI's taxonomy places the organism in Eukaryota, Metazoa, Chordata, Mammalia, Carnivora, Felidae. The transcript has 3 exons. The record is from RefSeq and is a predicted model, not a curated record.